This 68-nucleotide transfer RNA is filed under the name Caudoviricetes sp. RNAcentral's name for it is "tRNA-OTHER". It matches the Rfam family "tRNA". From Rfam's summary of the family: Transfer RNA (tRNA) molecules are approximately 80 nucleotides in length. Their secondary structure includes four short double-helical elements and three loops (D, anti-codon, and T loops). Further hydrogen bonds mediate the characteristic L-shaped molecular structure. tRNAs have two regions of fundamental functional importance: the anti-codon, which is responsible for specific mRNA codon recognition, and the 3' end, to which the tRNAs corresponding amino acid is attached (by aminoacyl-tRNA synthetases). tRNAs cope with the degeneracy of the genetic code in two manners: having more than one tRNA (with a specific anti-codon) for a particular amino acid; and 'wobble' base-pairing, i.e. permitting non-standard base-pairing at the 3rd anti-codon position. The record is from RNAcentral. Lineage: Duplodnaviria; Heunggongvirae; Uroviricota; Caudoviricetes.
GCCCUUGUAGCUCAGUUGGCAAGAGCGUUUUUUAUGUUAUGACGCCGGUUCAAGUCCGGCCAGGGGCA